Molecule: ribosomal RNA, 430 nt
Filed under: uncultured Acidovorax sp.
Lineage: Bacteria; Pseudomonadati; Pseudomonadota; Betaproteobacteria; Burkholderiales; Comamonadaceae
Description: bacterial SSU rRNA
Rfam family: Bacterial small subunit ribosomal RNA
Source: RNAcentral
GUGGGGAAUUUUGGACAAUGGGCGAAAGCCUGAUCCAGCCAUGCCGCGUGCAGGAUGAAGGCCUUCGGGUUGUAAACUGCUUUUGUACGGAACGAAAAGCCUCUUUCUAAUAAAGAGAGGUCAUGACGGUACCGUAAGAAUAAGCACCGGCUAACUACGUGCCAGCAGCCGCGGUAAUACGUAGGGUGCGAGCGUUAAUCGGAAUUACUGGGCGUAAAGCGUGCGCAGGCGGUGAUGUAAGACAGAUGUGAAAUCCCCGGGCUCAACCUGGGAACUGCAUUUGUGACUGCAUCGCUGGAGUGCGGCAGAGGGGGAUGGAAUUCCGCGUGUAGCAGUGAAAUGCGUAGAUAUGCGGAGGAACACCGAUGGCGAAGGCAAUCCCCUGGGCCUGCACUGACGCUCAUGCACGAAAGCGUGGGGAGCAAACAGG